This 2727-nucleotide ribosomal RNA is filed under the name Salmonella enterica subsp. enterica serovar Typhimurium. RNAcentral describes it as "partial 23S ribosomal RNA". It matches the Rfam family "Bacterial large subunit ribosomal RNA". Lineage: Bacteria; Pseudomonadati; Pseudomonadota; Gammaproteobacteria; Enterobacterales; Enterobacteriaceae. The record is from RNAcentral.
GAUUCGUCACACUAUCAUUAACUGAAUCCAUAGGUUAAUGAGGCGAACCGGGGGAACUGAAACAUCUAAGUACCCCGAGGAAAAGAAAUCAACCGAGAUUCCCCCAGUAGCGGCGAGCGAACGGGGAGGAGCCCAGAGCCUGAAUCAGCAUGUGUGUUAGUGGAAGCGUCUGGAAAGGCGCGCGAUACAGGGUGACAGCCCCGUACACAAAAGCGCAUGUGCUGUGAGCUCGAUGAGUAGGGCGGGACACGUGGUAUCCUGUCUGAAUAUGGGGGGACCAUCCUCCAAGGCUAAAUACUCCUGACUGACCGAUAGUGAACCAGUACCGUGAGGGAAAGGCGAAAAGAACCCCGGCGAGGGGAGUGAAAAAGAACCUGAAACCGUGUACGUACAAGCAGUGGGAGCACCCUUCGGGGUGUGACUGCGUACCUUUUGUAUAAUGGGUCAGCGACUUAUAUUCUGUAGCAAGGUUAACCGUAUAGGGGAGCCGGAGGGAAACCGAGUCUUAACCGGGCGUUAAGUUGCAGGGUAUAGACCCGAAACCCGGUGAUCUAGCCAUGGGCAGGUUGAAGGUUGGGUAACACUAACUGGAGGACCGAACCGACUAAUGUUGAAAAAUUAGCGGAUGACCUGUGGCUGGGGGUGAAAGGCCAAUCAAACCGGGAGAUAGCUGGUUCUCCCCGAAAGCUAUUUAGGUAGCGCCUCGUGAAUUCAUCUCCGGGGGUAGAGCACUGUUUCGGCUAGGGGGCCAUCCCGGCUUACCAACCCGAUGCAAACUGCGAAUACCGGAGAAUGUUAUCACGGGAGACACACGGCGGGUGCUAACGUCCGUCGUGAAGAGGGAAACAACCCAGACCGCCAGCUAAGGUCCCAAAGUCAUGGUUAAGUGGGAAACGAUGUGGGAAGGCCCAGACAGCCAGGAUGUUGGCUUAGAAGCAGCCAUCAUUUAAAGAAAGCGUAAUAGCUCACUGGUCGAGUCGGCCUGCGCGGAAGAUGUAACGGGGCUAAACCAUGCACCGAAGCUGCGGCAGCGAACGUAUCACCCAAGACAACUUUACGGAGUUGACGAUUGACGGAGCGAAGCGACGUCAAAGCGUUCAUUAAAGUCGAGUUGGCUUAGGGAUACGUUCGUUGGGUAGGGGAGCGUUCUGUAAGCCUGUGAAGGUGUGUCGUGAGGCAUGCUGGAGGUAUCAGAAGUGCGAAUGCUGACAUAAGUAACGAUAAAGCGGGUGAAAAGCCCGCUCGCCGGAAGACCAAGGGUUCCUGUCCAACGUUAAUCGGGGCAGGGUGAGUCGACCCCUAAGGCGAGGCCGAAAGGCGUAGUCGAUGGGAAACGGGUUAAUAUUCCCGUACUUGGUGUUACUGCGAAGGGGGGACGGAGAAGGCUAUGUUGGCCGGGCGACGGUUGUCCCGGUUUAAGCGUGUAGGUGUGUGUUCCAGGUAAAUCCGGUUCACUUUAACACUGAGGCGUGACGACGAGGCACUACGGUGCUGAAGCAACAAAUGCCCUGCUUCCAGGAAAAGCCUCUAAGCAUCAGGUAACACGAAAUCGUACCCCAAACCGACACAGGUGGUCAGGUAGAGAAUACCAAGGCGCUUGAGAGAACUCGGGUGAAGGAACUAGGCAAAAUGGUGCCGUAACUUCGGGAGAAGGCACGCUGACACGUAGGUGAAGUGAUUUACUCAUGGAGCUGAAGUCAGUCGAAGAUACCAGCUGGCUGCAACUGUUUAUUAAAAACACAGCACUGUGCAAACACGAAAGUGGACGUAUACGGUGUGACGCCUGCCCGGUGCCGGAAGGUUAAUUGAUGGGGUCAGCGCAAGCGAAGCUCCUGAUCGAAGCCCCGGUAAACGGCGGCCGUAACUAUAACGGUCCUAAGGUAGCGAAAUUCCUUGUCGGGUAAGUUCCGACCUGCACGAAUGGCGUAAUGAUGGCCAGGCUGUCUCCACCCGAGACUCAGUGAAAUUGAACUCGCUGUGAAGAUGCAGUGUACCCGCGGCAAGACGGAAAGACCCCGUGAACCUUUACUAUAGCUUGACACUGAACAUUGAGCCUUGAUGUGUAGGAUAGGUGGGAGGCUUUGAAGUGUGGACGCCAGUCUGCAUGGAGCCGACCUUGAAAUACCACCCUUUAAUGUUUGAUGUUCUAACGUGGACCCGUAAUCCGGGUUGCGGACAGUGUCUGGUGGGUAGUUUGACUGGGGCGGUCUCCUCCUAAAGAGUAACGGAGGAGCACGAAGGUUGGCUAAUCCUGGUCGGACAUCAGGAGGUUAGUGCAAUGGCAUAAGCCAGCUUGACUGCGAGCGUGACGGCGCGAGCAGGUGCGAAAGCAGGUCAUAGUGAUCCGGUGGUUCUGAAUGGAAGGGCCAUCGCUCAACGGAUAAAAGGUACUCCGGGGAUAACAGGCUGAUACCGCCCAAGAGUUCAUAUCGACGGCGGUGUUUGGCACCUCGAUGUCGGCUCAUCACAUCCUGGGGCUGAAGUAGGUCCCAAGGGUAUGGCUGUUCGCCAUUUAAAGUGGUACGCGAGCUGGGUUUAGAACGUCGUGAGACAGUUCGGUCCCUAUCUGCCGUGGGCGCUGGAGAACUGAGGGGGGCUGCUCCUAGUACGAGAGGACCGGAGUGGACGCAUCACUGGUGUUCGGGUUGUCAUGCCAAUGGCACUGCCCGGUAGCUAAAUGCGGAAGAGAUAAGUGCUGAAAGCAUCUAAGCACGAAACUUGCCCCGA